Oxyura jamaicensis (ruddy duck) is the source of this 387-nucleotide long non-coding RNA. RefSeq lists it as uncharacterized. The transcript has 2 exons. NCBI's taxonomy places the organism in Eukaryota, Metazoa, Chordata, Aves, Anseriformes, Anatidae. The record is from RefSeq and is a predicted model, not a curated record.
AGGACGGGCGGACGCGCCCCGUGCCGCGCUGUGUUGGGGAGGGGGGGGGGCGGCAGUCGGCCCCGCUCCGAGCGAGGGAGGUGGGGACCCUCCCGGGAUGCUGCAGAGGUUGAAAUCCCAAUGGGACCCCAGUGGUUCUACAGCUGAGAGAAAUUCAGCACAAAAUACCUGUGAACCCUCUGGGACAAUUUUGAAAAGUGAGAUUUUUCUGCCUCAGGAACAUUUUGGGGCCCAGAACACACGACCUUACAAAAGGGCACUGUGCACGUGUCCUUUUCACAGUAUUUUUCCUACUGUUCAACUUGGCUGUUGUGGAGACAAUUAGCCUUCAUCUCCAGAGACACUUGCAAUUCUGUUAUCAUUUAAGAUUAAAUUAUUUGGGGUUAA